This 3437-nucleotide long non-coding RNA is filed under the name Salmo salar (Atlantic salmon). RNAcentral's name for it is "lncRNA (ENSSSAG00000102655.1)". Lineage: Eukaryota; Metazoa; Chordata; Actinopteri; Salmoniformes; Salmonidae. The record is from RNAcentral.
GUUGGGUAUACACUAUGUAUUAAUAUUACCAUAACAAAGAGCUUAAGGACAUAAAAUGGCGGACAGAGAUGAGACAGUUGAUCAGAAAACAGAAUCGUCACCAGGAGUAAGCUGCUGAUAAUUCCAAGUUGUAUUUAUUAUGUUAUAUGAAAAAUAGACAUGUAAUAUAGGACAGAGUUAUCUUUGCUAGUUCCUUCUUUCUCUGACAGGUACAAUCCAUUUGAUAACAAAUAUUCCCUUAAGAUUUAACACAACUCUCAUCUGUAAUAAUUUGGAACAGGGUUUUUGAAUACAGGUUUUCAAUUUACUCCAUUUAAAAUGUUAUUAUAAAUGUAUUCACAACAUGGCACUAUAUGGAUCCAUCAAGCCAAACUGACCACUCAGAAGUGACUGCUAUUAAUCACUGUUAUAGUUAUGUCUCUUUAGUUAGCUAGUAAUGUUAUUCUCAUUGGUUUAUUGUUUUGUAGCUUUAUCUCACACCGAUGACUUGUCUUCUAUAGAUUGACAUGUUGGUUACCUUGGUUACAGGUCAGCGGAGGCUGGUGAGGCGUCAUCGUUAGCUACAGGCGAACUCUUGUUUGUCUGUUUUCACACCUGGCCUGUGUUGUGUCUAGUACAGGAUGAGUUUGGAUGAUGUCACCUCUCACAGUUAUAAAAAUAAAAGAGGAAGGAAGGAAGGGGUCAAGGGUCAGCAGUUUGUUUGAAUGGGAAAGGUCAGUUCAUCAGAUCACACACACUAUGGUACUUGGUAUUUUACAAUAAUGGUAUUUUACAAACAUGAAAAUCAAAGCUGAUAUAUUCAUUUGAAGAGAAAUUGAUUUAAAGGGUUAAAGAAAACCGCAACACAGAAUCUUCAGCUCUAUCAACUUGUUAAGUCCCAGAUCACCUGGUUUCUCCUAUAAACAAAACGAAGCAGCUUUUAGUCUCCAUUCUAUCCCUGCUAGAGUUCUGUUGUGUCUGAACUGACAGACCAGUAGUCUAGAGUAAUGUAAUGUAUGUCCAGUGUCUGGUGCAUCUGAUGUCCUCAGCAGCCCAGUAUCUUUAUCACCCUGCCUUGUGUCUAUAGAUUCUAUGUUGUGAUUUACAACAACAUGACAUAGGGGUUUAAAGCCAACUGUCUAUAGAUUCUAUGUUGUGAUUUACAACAACAUGACAUAGGGGUUUAAAGCCAACUGUCUAUAGAUUCUAUGUUGUGAUUUACAACAACAUGACAUAGGGGUUUAAAGCCAACUGUCUAUAGAUUCUAUGUUGUGAUUUAUAACAACAUGACAUAGGGGUUUAAAGCCAAGUGAGGAAGUGACAGAGCAGAAUAUAAAUAUAAGGUUGAUCCUUUAGAGACGUUUCAACUGAUAAAACCUUUAUAUCUUCUACCUUAUCUGGGAACUGAGGAGGAUUCAGUUUGUUGUUUUUUUGCAAAGAUACAUUAUUUGUACGUAAAUAAAACCACUAACACGACUACAGUAGCGAUCCCGUUGUUAUUGGCACCACCGUGGAACACAAAUCCUCUGUGUUAAAGGCUUUUCCUCACUCUGUGUGCGUCCUGUCUGCUGUUACAACGAGCGGUGUUACUUUGAACUGAGUAGGAAAUGAACAUCAAUCACAGGACUACACAUCAAACACCACAGCUGCUGCUCGUUACACCGCAGCUGCUGCUAGUUACACCGCAGCUGCUGCUCGUUACACCGCAGCUGCUGCUCGUUACACCGCAGCUGCUGCUCGUUACACCGCAGCUGCUGCUCGUUACACCGCAGCUGCUGCUCGUUACACCACAGCUGCUGCUCGUUACACCACAGCUGCUGCUCGUUACACCACAGCUGCUGCUCGUUACACCACAGCUGCUGCUCGUUACACCACAGCUGCUGCUAGUUACACCACAGCUGCUGCUAGUUACACCACAGCUGCUGCUAGUUACACCACAGCUGCUGCUCGUUACACCACAGCUGCUGCUCGUUACACCACAGCUGCUGCUAGUUACACCACAGCUGCUGCUAGUUACACCACAGCUGCUGCUCGUUACACCACAGUUUGUUCUCGUUACACCACAGCUGCUGCUCGUUACACCACAGCUGCUGCUCGUUACACCACAGCUGCUGCUCGUUACACCACAGCUGCUGCUCGUUACACCACAGCUGCUACUAGUUACACCACAGCUGCUGCUCGUUACACCACAGCAAUUAUAGAACAACAGUUGUCAGCAAUUGCUUAGACUCAAUAUAGAUAUUUUGGGGAAAAAGGAACCCCAUUCUUUCAAUUCUUCACUGCUGAAGAUGACACUCAUAAAUCCAGUCAAGAUGGAAAACCUACGCAAGACAGUCACUAAUAAAGAGUUAGAUCAAAGGAGCUGUGUGAUGCCUCCAGCCGUUAGUGGAGACACUGAGUUGGACAAAACAUUAAGAACACCUUCCUGAUAUUGAGUUACAGCCUCAAUUCAUCUGGGAUCAUGGACUCUACAAGGUGUCGAAAGCGUUCCACAGGGAUGCUGGCCCUUGUUGACUCCAGUGCUUCCCACAGUUGUGUCAAGUUGGCUGGAUGUCCUUUGGGUGGUGGACCAUUAAUGAUACACACGGGAAACAGUUGAGCGUGAAAAACCCACCAGCGUUGCAGUUCUUGACACACUGAAACUGGUGAGUCUGGUACCUACUACCAUACCCCGUUUAAAGGCACUUAAGUCUUUAGUCUUGCCAAUUCACCCUCUGAAUGGCACACAUACACAAUCCAAGCUUCAAUGCCAUACAACUCUCCUUCCGUGGCCUCCAACUGCUCUUAAAUACAAGUAAAAGUAAAUGCAUGCUCUUCAACCGAUCGCUGCCUGCACCUGCCCGCCCAUCCAGCAUCACUACUCUGGACGGUUCUGACUUAGAAUAUGUGGACAACUACAAAUACCUAGGUGUCUGGUUAGACUGUAAGCUCUCCUUCCAGACUCACAUCAAACAUUUCCAAUCCAAAGUUAAAUCUAGAAUUGGCUUCCUAUUUCGCAACAAAGCAUCCUUCACUCAUGCUGCCAAACAUACCCUCGUAAAACUGACCAUCCUACCAAUCCUCGACUUCGGCGAUGUCAUUUACAAAAUAGCCUCCAAUACCCUACUCAAUAAAUUGGAUGCAGUCUAUCACAGUGCCAUCCGUUUUGUCACCAAAGUCCCAUAUACUACCCACCACUGCGACCUGUAUGCUCUCGUUGGCUGGCCCUCGCUUCAUACUCGUCGCCAAACCCACUGGCUCCAGGUCAUCUACAAGACCCUGCUAGGUAAAGUCCCCCCCUUAUCUCAGCUCGCUGGUCACCAUCGCAGCACCCACCUGUAGCACGCUUUCCAGCAGGUAUAUCUCACUGGUCACCCCCAAAGCCAAUUCCUCCUUUGGCCGUCUCUCCUUCCAGUUCUCUGCUGCCAAUGACUGGAACGAACUACAAAAAUCUCUGAAACUGGAAACACUUAUCUCCC